RNAcentral lists this transfer RNA (83 nucleotides) under Canis lupus familiaris (dog). It matches the Rfam family "tRNA". Rfam says of the family: Transfer RNA (tRNA) molecules are approximately 80 nucleotides in length. Their secondary structure includes four short double-helical elements and three loops (D, anti-codon, and T loops). Further hydrogen bonds mediate the characteristic L-shaped molecular structure. tRNAs have two regions of fundamental functional importance: the anti-codon, which is responsible for specific mRNA codon recognition, and the 3' end, to which the tRNAs corresponding amino acid is attached (by aminoacyl-tRNA synthetases). tRNAs cope with the degeneracy of the genetic code in two manners: having more than one tRNA (with a specific anti-codon) for a particular amino acid; and 'wobble' base-pairing, i.e. permitting non-standard base-pairing at the 3rd anti-codon position. The record is from Rfam by way of RNAcentral. Lineage: Eukaryota; Metazoa; Chordata; Mammalia; Carnivora; Canidae.
ACCUGAGUGGCUCAGUGAUUGAGCGUCUGCCUUUGGCUCAGGUCAUGAUCCCGGGGUUGUGGGAUCGAUUCCCACAUCAGGCU